This 29-nucleotide small RNA is filed under the name Bombyx mori (domestic silkworm). RNAcentral's name for it is "piRNA piR-bmo-1672720". The record is from RNAcentral. Lineage: Eukaryota; Metazoa; Arthropoda; Insecta; Lepidoptera; Bombycidae.
UAGCGGUAGUUUCGGACUUGAGAGUCCUU